RNAcentral lists this unclassified non-coding RNA (20 nucleotides) under Mus musculus (house mouse). RNAcentral describes it as "oocyte_clustered_small_RNA13262". Lineage: Eukaryota; Metazoa; Chordata; Mammalia; Rodentia; Muridae. The record is from RNAcentral.
GUUGGGAGUAUGUACUUGGA